GUUCGGUGGAAACGAGAAUAAAACGUGAAGGAUAACGUUGCGUCAGCAACGGCCCGUAGGGCGAGGCGAAGCCGAGUCAUCCUGCACAACCCACCA
Molecule: small RNA, 96 nt
Filed under: Salmonella enterica
Lineage: Bacteria; Pseudomonadati; Pseudomonadota; Gammaproteobacteria; Enterobacterales; Enterobacteriaceae
Also listed under: 4 other names
Description: partial RtT sRNA
Rfam family: RtT RNA
About the family: This family represents a bacterial cis-regulatory element known as RtT RNA. The exact function of RtT is unknown although it is thought that it may be involved in changing the cellular response in relation to amino acid starvation.
Source: RNAcentral